CAUGACCAACUGGAUGAAAAUGGCUCCCAGUCGGACGUGACUGGGCUCCCAGUCAUACAGUUACUGGGCUUCCAGUCAUACAGUUACUGGGCUUCCAGUCAGAGGUUCCUGGGCUCCCAGUCGGACGUGACUGGGCUCCCAGUCAUACAGUUACUGGGCUUCCAGUCAGAGGUUCCUGGGCUUCCAGUCAGAGGUUACUGGGCUCCCAGUCGGACGUUACCGGGCUCCCAGUCGGACGUUACCGGGCUCCCAGUCGGACGUUACCGGGCUCCCAGUCGGACGUUACCGGGCUCCCAGUCGGACGGUUACCGGGCUCCCAGUCAGAGGUUACCGGGCUCCCAGUCGGAGGUUACCGGGCUCCCAGUCGGAGGUUACCGGGCUCCCAGUCGGACGUUACCGGGCUCCCAGUCGGACGUUACUGGGCUCCCAGUCAGAUGUGACUGGUUGGUUAUCCUGCUGAGGUGUAUUUUACUUUUCUCUGCAUUGUUCAGUAGAUUAUAAUAACUAGACCUGAACAUUAAAGGAAUAAAGGUUGAAUUAAAGGUUAUAUCAGCGUAUACUUGGAGAAUCCAAACGUUAGCGUGUGCAGUUUAGUGUGCAUGGUCAAGUGUGGUUUCAUGACCUUGUUGAGAACAUGCUGUCUGUUUGCUUCCACCCACAAGAGUCCUGCUCACAUUUAUAUUCACACCAGUUUCCUGAGCACCGCCUGAUGGAAUUCACCCAGAUUUCAGCAGGAGGAUGAAGGAGAAACUCAGACGUGUCCUCACAUGACAUCUCGUUUGAAAAGUUCAGGCAAAAACUGAAAACUAGCAGCUUCAGAAUCACCUUGGGUGCCUUUAAACAUGAAUGAAAUGAUAUGCAAUAAACUGUCUCGCCCUCUUUGCUGUCUCGCUGUUACUGAACGUCUCUCGUCCUGAUGUGUAACUCUGGUUAAUUAGAGAUCAUUAGAGAUCUUUGACAGGGUGAGCUGGAAGAACCUGGAGCUCCAGCUCUGCUUCCUCAUUAACGUUGGUGAUUGUGAAGCUCGUCACACACCAAACGGAGGUGUUGCGUCCAGCCGAAGCAUCAGCACUCAAACAGCUUCUACCUGAAUGAGCGUUUAAUAGCUCCGCCUCCAUCGCUGACCUGAGAACCCGGACUCCUGCCGUUAGGGCUAGGGCUAGGGCUAGGGUUAGGGGUAGGGUUAGGGUUAGGGCUAGGGUUAGGGCUAGGGUUAGAGGGCUAGGGUUAGGGUUAGAGGGCUAGGGUUAGGGUUAGAGGGCUAGGGUUAGGGUUAGGGGGCUAGGGUUAGGGCUAGGGUUAGAGGGCUAGGGUUAGGGGGCUAGGGUUAGGGCUAGAGCUAGGGUUAGGGUUAGGGGGCUAGGGUUAGGGCUAGGGUUAGAGGGCUAGGGUUAGGGUUAGGGGGCUAGGGUUAGGGCUAGGGUUAGAGGGCUAGGGUUAGGGGGCUAGGGUUAGGGGGCUAGGGUUAGGGCUAGGGUUAGAGGGCUAGGGUUAGGGUUAGAGGGCUAGGGUUAGAGGGUUAGGGUUAGAGGGCUAGGGUUAGAGGGCUAGGGUUAGGGUUAGAGGGCUAGGGUUAGGGUUAGGGGGCUAGGGUUAGGGGGCUAGGGUUAGAGGGCUAGGGCUAGGGCUAGGGUUAGGGUUAGAGGGCUAGGGUUAGGGUUAGGGGGCUAGGGUUAGGGGGCUAGGGUUAGAGGGCUAGGGUUAGGGUUAGGGGGCUAGGGUUAGAGGGUUAGGGUUAGAGGGCUAGGGUUAGGGCUAGGGUUAGAGGGCUAGGGUUAGGGCUAGGGCUAGAGGGCUAGGGUUAGGGUUAGGCACCAGGAUUCACUCAUCCGAAAAUGGGUAGAAUGAUAGUA
RNAcentral lists this long non-coding RNA (1853 nucleotides) under Takifugu rubripes (torafugu). RNAcentral describes it as "lncRNA (ENSTRUG00000028129.1)". Lineage: Eukaryota; Metazoa; Chordata; Actinopteri; Tetraodontiformes; Tetraodontidae. The record is from RNAcentral.